UACGUAGGGUGCAAGCGUUGUCCGGAAUUAUUGGGCGUAAAGAGCUCGUAGGCGGUUUGUUGCGUCGGCUGUGAAAACCUGAGGCUCAACCUCAGGCCUGCAGUCGAUACGAGCAGACUAGAGUGUUGCAGGGGAGACUGGAAUUCCUGGUGUAGCGGUGAAAUGCGCAGAUAUCAGGAAGAACACCCGUGGCGAAGGCGGCUCUCUGGGACGGUACUGACGCUGAGACGCGAAAGCGUGGGGAGCGAACAGG
Molecule: ribosomal RNA, 253 nt
Filed under: uncultured bacterium
Lineage: Bacteria
Description: partial 16S ribosomal RNA
Rfam family: Bacterial small subunit ribosomal RNA
Source: RNAcentral